This 253-nucleotide ribosomal RNA is filed under the name uncultured bacterium. RNAcentral describes it as "partial 16S ribosomal RNA". It matches the Rfam family "Bacterial small subunit ribosomal RNA", at positions 524 to 776 of the family's 1533-position model. The record is from RNAcentral.
UACGUAGGGUGCAAGCGUUGUCCGGAAUUAUUGGGCGUAAAGAGCUCGUAGGCGGUUUGUCGCGUCUGGUGUGAAAAUCCAGGGCUUAACCCUGGACCUGCAUCGGGUACGGGCAGACUAGAGUGCGGUAGGGGAGACUGGAAUUCCUGGUGUAGCGGUGAAAUGCGCAGAUAUCAGGAGGAACACCGGUGGCGAAGGCGGGUCUCUGGGCCGUAACUGACGCUGAGGAGCGAAAGCGUGGGGAGCGAACAGG